Molecule: non-coding RNA, 24 nt
Filed under: Arabidopsis thaliana (thale cress)
Lineage: Eukaryota; Viridiplantae; Streptophyta; Magnoliopsida; Brassicales; Brassicaceae
Source: RNAcentral
UGAGUCCCAAGGUGUGGUUGACCA